UACGUAGGGUGCAAGCGUUAAUCGGAAUUACUGGGCGUAAAGCGUGCGCAGGCGGUUUUGUAAGACAGUGGUGAAAUCCCCGGGCUCAACCUGGGAACUGCCAUUGUGACUGCAAAGCUAGAGUGCGGCAGAGGGGGAUGGAAUUCCGCGUGUAGCAGUGAAAUGCGUAGAUAUGCGGAGGAACACCGAUGGCGAAGGCAAUCCCCUGGGCCUGCACUGACGCUCAUGCAUGAAAGCGUGGGGAGCAAACAGGAUUAGAUACCCCUGUAGUCC
This 273-nucleotide ribosomal RNA is filed under the name uncultured Ramlibacter sp. RNAcentral describes it as "partial 16S ribosomal RNA". It matches the Rfam family "Bacterial small subunit ribosomal RNA", at positions 524 to 796 of the family's 1533-position model. The record is from RNAcentral. Lineage: Bacteria; Pseudomonadati; Pseudomonadota; Betaproteobacteria; Burkholderiales; Comamonadaceae.